Molecule: transfer RNA, 82 nt
Filed under: Sphaeroforma arctica JP610
Lineage: Eukaryota; Ichthyosporea; Ichthyophonida
Rfam family: tRNA
About the family: Transfer RNA (tRNA) molecules are approximately 80 nucleotides in length. Their secondary structure includes four short double-helical elements and three loops (D, anti-codon, and T loops).
Source: Rfam by way of RNAcentral
GAAGAGGUUUCCAUUGGUAAGGUAAACAACCUGCUAAGUUGUCGUAUGAAUAUACUUGUGGGUUCAAUUCCCACUCUCUUCG